RNAcentral lists this ribosomal RNA (551 nucleotides) under uncultured Glomeromycotina. RNAcentral describes it as "SSU rRNA". It matches the Rfam family "Eukaryotic small subunit ribosomal RNA", at positions 548 to 1098 of the family's 1831-position model. Lineage: Eukaryota; Fungi; Glomeromycota. The record is from RNAcentral.
UUGGAGGGCAAGUCUGGUGCCAGCAGCCGCGGUAAUUCCAGCUCCAAUAGCGUAUAUUAAAGUUGUUGCAGUUAAAAAGCUCGUAGUUGAAUUUCGGAAUUUUUUUAUCGGUUGAAUCAACAGGUUCGUACUGAUUUUAAGAAUUUCUACCUUCUGGAGAACCUUAAUGUCAUUAAUUUGGUGUUUUGGGAAACCAGGACUGUUACCUUGAAAAAAUUAGAGUGUUUAAAGCAGGCUUAUGUCUGAAUAUAUUAGCAUGGAAUAAUGAAAUAGGACUGCAUGGUUCUAUUUUGUUGGUUUCUAGGAUCACCGUAAUGAUUAAUAGGGAUAGUUGGGGGCAUUAGUAUUCAAUUGUCAGAGGUGAAAUUCUUGGAUUUAUUGAAGACUAACUUCUGCGAAAGCAUUUGCCAAGGAUGUUUUCAUUAAUCAAGAACGAAAGUUAGGGGAUCGAAGACGAUCAGAUACCGUCGUAGUCUUAACCAUAAACUAUGCCGACUAGGAAUCGGACGAAGUUAAUUUUUUAAUGACUCGUUCGGCGCCUUACGGGAAAC